CCUACGGGAGGCUGCAGUGGGGAAUAUUGCACAAUGGGCGAAAGCCUGAUGCAGCAACGCCGCGUGAGCGAUGAAGGCCUUCGGGUCGUAAAGCUCUGUCCUCAAGGAAGAUGAUGACGGUGCUUGAGUAGGAAGCCCCGGCGAACUACUUGCCAGCAGCCGCGGCAAUACGUAGGGGGCUAGGGUUAUCGGGAAUUACGGGGGGAAAGGGGGGCGUAGGUGGUUUAUUAAGUCAGAGGUGAAAGGCUACGGAUAAACCGUAGUAAACCUUUGAAACUGGGGAACUUGAGUGCAGGAGAGGAGAGUGGAAUUCCUAGUGUAGCGGUGAAAUGCGUAGAUAUUAGGAGGAACACCAGUGGCGAAGGCGGCUCUCUGGACUGUAACUGACACUGAGGCACGAAAGCGUGGGGAGCAAACAGGAUUAGAUACCCUGGUAGUC
RNAcentral lists this ribosomal RNA (439 nucleotides) under uncultured bacterium. RNAcentral's name for it is "partial 16S ribosomal RNA". It matches the Rfam family "Bacterial small subunit ribosomal RNA", at positions 338 to 795 of the family's 1533-position model. The record is from RNAcentral.